AGAGUUUUCUAGCAGUGUUCUUUAGAAAUAGUGAUCUUACUGGGAUGGAUAAUUGCCAUUUUUGUUUCUCAGUUCUAUCCUUUCCUUCUUUUGGUAAUCAUGGGCCAGUUUUACUUUGCAGAUGUCUUCAGGAAUCUCCUUGCUGGGUGGGCAUUUGAGUUUGUAUCCCUCAUGGGGGUUUACAGUAGCUAAUGUUUUUAAGCACUUAUUUUCCAGGCACUACUUCUGAGUUUUUUCAUUAGUCAACUCAUAUAAUACUUGCACCAUUUUUAUGAGAUAGAAACAAUUUUUAUUCCACUUUUACAGAGGAGGAACCUGAGACAGAACAUGUCCAAAGUUACACAUGCGGUACACAAUAGAGCGGGAAUCUGAACCAGGUAGUCUGCUUCUGACUCUGCAUUAUCUCAGUUAUGGUGGCACAGAACUUAAACUGACAGGGGAGUCAACAGUGUCUUCUCUGUACUCAAGUCUAGAGCAAACCAACAAGAGGGCAGGAAGCAAGGCACCCCAAGAUUCCUGGAAACCCCACAAGGGAGAAUCAUGGAAUGUUUUAAAGCAUCUUUGA
RNAcentral lists this long non-coding RNA (565 nucleotides) under Felis catus (domestic cat). RNAcentral describes it as "lncRNA (ENSFCAG00000045938.2)". The record is from RNAcentral. Lineage: Eukaryota; Metazoa; Chordata; Mammalia; Carnivora; Felidae.